This 497-nucleotide ribosomal RNA is filed under the name uncultured bacterium. Its description in RNAcentral is "partial 16S ribosomal RNA". It matches the Rfam family "Bacterial small subunit ribosomal RNA", at positions 28 to 507 of the family's 1533-position model. The record is from RNAcentral.
GAUGAACGCUGGCGGCGUGCCUAAUACAUGCCAGUCGAGCGAACAGACGAGGAGCUUGCUCCUCUGACGUUAGCGGCGGACGGGUGAGUAACACGUGGAUAACCUACCUAUAAGACUGGGAUAACUUCGGGAAACCGGAGCUAAUACCGGAUAAUAUAUUUAACCGCAUGGUUCAAUAGUGAAAGACGGGUUUGCUGUCAAUUAUAGAUGGAUCCGCGCCGCAUUAGCUAGUUGGUAAGGUAACGGCUUACCAAGGCGACGAUGCGUAGCCGACCUGAGAGGGUGAUCGGCCACACUGGAACUGAGACACGGUCCAGACUCCUACGGGAGGCAGCAGUAGGGAAUCUUCCGCAAUGGGCGAAAGCCUGACGGAGCAACGCCGCGUGAGUGAUGAAGGUCUUCGGAUCGUAAAACUCUGUUAUUAGGGAAGAACAAAUGUGUAAGUAACUAUGCACGUCUUGACGGUACCUAAUCAGAAAGCCACGGCUAACUACGUG